This 423-nucleotide ribosomal RNA is filed under the name uncultured bacterium. RNAcentral describes it as "bacterial SSU rRNA". It matches the Rfam family "Bacterial small subunit ribosomal RNA", at positions 207 to 622 of the family's 1533-position model. The record is from RNAcentral.
AAGACCUUGCGCUUUUGGAGCGGUCGAUGUCUGAUUAGCUAGUUGGUAGGGUAAUGGCCUACCAAAGCUUCGAUCAGUAGCUGGUCUGAGAGGACGACCAGCCACACUGGGACUGAGACACGGCCCAGACUCCUACGGGAGGCAGCAGUGGGGAAUUUUGGACAAUGGGCGCAAGCCUGAUCCAGCCAUGCCGCGUGAGUGAAGAAGGCCUUCGGGUUGUAGAGCUCUUUCAGCCGGGAAGAAAAGGCUACGACGAAUAAUCGUAGCUCAUGACGGUACCGGAAGAAGAAGCACCGGCUAACUACGUGCCAGCAGCCGCGGUAAUACGUAGGGUGCGAGCGUUAAUCGGAAUUACUGGGCGUAAAGGGUGCGCAGGCGGUUUUGUAAGUCAGAUGUGAAAUCCCCGGGCUUAACCUGGGAACU